GAUAUUUUAUUUUAUUUUUUUCUCUUUCCUUUUUUUUCUUUGCUUUUUCUACCCAAAUCCCCCCUAGUAGAUAGUUGCAUACUUUUAGUUGUGGCGUGUGGGAUGCCGCCUCAACAUGGCCCAGUGAGGGGUGCCAUGUCCGCACCCAGGAUGCAAACCAGCAAAAGCCUGGGCCACCAAAGUGGAGUGCAUGAAUUUAACCACUCGGCCACGGGGCUGGCCCUAGAAUCUGAUAUUUUAUAUCAGAAGAAGAGAAGCUAACGAAAACAAUAAUAUGUUAUUAACUACUCAUUAUGAUUAUGUGCCAGCUAAUAUGUAAUCUCAUUUCACCCUCAAACAAAUACAAAGCACAAAGAGAUAUGAUUAUUAGUCCAUUUUUGCACAUCAUAAAAUUGAGGCACAAAAAGUUUAAGAAUUUGUCCAUAAAAACACAACCAGUAAGUGGUGGAGUAUGAUUUGAACGCCCACUGCCAUUAUCCAGUCCACACUUUCCAUAACCGACUGAAAAAUCAACAGUGUGAUAUAUAGAAAAAAAAGAGCAGGAGAGAACAAUAUCCAGGAAGUUUUAGGACAGAAUGCUAUCAACAACUUAAGUGUGAUAUCAACUUAUUCAAAAAUGAGAGUAUGAUUCUCUCCAUGAUAGGAGGAAAAGACUAUCCCAGAGAUCUGAAGAUGGAAUUGAGGUAAUUUAAGUUUUUUCUCCAUGAUGAUCAAGGAAAAAAUAAAAGUCUUCUUGCUGAGAAAGCAUAACGUCAUAAAAGGAGAUGAGGUCAAGGCUGGACUGAAAGGAAACAUGAAUACCAUUGAGAAUAAUGGACUAGCUCAUAAAAAAUUGCUCAGGGGUUGAGAAAUAAAGAACCUGUUUUUUUAAAAAAAACAAAAAGGACUAGGCAAAUGCAGACAAUUAGAGUUUGGGAUCAGGAUGGGAAAUCUAAAUAUUUUACUCUCUUAUAAAUUCUCUGUGCUUUAAUGCUCACUCCUCUGGCUAACUCUUGCUCACGCUUUAGAUCUCAGGGUAUGUUUCACUCCCUAGGUCAGGUUCCUUUGUAACAGAUUUCAUUGAAUAUUUUUCUUUAGUAAGCUUACUACAGCAGUCAUUAAAUAAGCCUUUGCAUAAUUAAGUAAACCUUUGUGUAAUUAUAUAUUUUUAAAAGUCGUUUCUUUUCCAGUCUGGGCUGUGUGUUCUUUGGGACAGGGCUGUUCACCUAUUGUUAUAUCAUGGUUUCUUAGCCCAGUGCACACCACACUGUAAAUUUGAAAACGUUAUUUGCUGAAGAAUAAAAAGAUCACAUAAGAAAGGUAAAAGAUAAAAAAUAUUUCAGGAACUGAUAGGUAAUAGCAUGUAAUAUUUAUUGAGGGCUUUCAGUGAAUCGGGCAUCAUAAGGUAGGUGCUAUUGUUAUGCUCAUGUUAGGCACAUUGGGAAACAGGUGAAGUAGUCAUUCAUCGCGGGCAGUUUGUCCGCUGGGAACAGCCUCCGAACCACACUGUGCUGCACUGUUUCUGAGACACACAGCUCUAAACGAGACUUAAAGGAGAAGAAUGGUCUGAUCUUUUAGACUCUAUAUGUCAGGAUCAAGAGCUAAAUUUUAUUGUAUGUCCAGAGCCAGCCACUAUAUAUAGAGGAGUAGCAUUAUUCAACUUGCAUAUAUGUAAUAUAUUAUUCUAGUUAAGAUUUUGUGAAGAAUAUGUUGCAGGAAUUAAUUAAAAGUUUGCACUAUGGGGACCAGCCUGGUGGUGUAGCGAUUAAGUUCACGUGUUCUGCUUUGGCAACCCAGGGUUUGGCGUGGACUUAGCACCUCUUGUCAAGCCAUAAUAUACAUGGAAGUUGAGACUUGAUGGGAAAGAAGGUUGUGGAAGGUUGGUCUGUGGAAUUGUAAGGAAAAGGGAGCGUCCCAUACAGAAUAACAAAAAUCAAAUCAAAAGCAGUGAAAUAAAUCAUAUAAUGUAAAUGAAAUAAAAUAGAAGAGCAAAAGGAGUUUAGUCUGGACGAGAAAAGAGAAUAGAGUUGUUCAUGGAAAAACUGAACACAUGUAUGUGCAGGAACACUGUAAUAACAAUAAAGUGAAAACAUCCAUCAAUCAAGUCAAAGGAAAAUAAAAUAUUUAGAAGGUAUUUAAACAGUUAAAGUCAAAUUGUUGUAAAAAUAUGCAAAGAGGAGUGGACAUGAAUUGUUCAGAUUUUAUUUUAUUUCUUUAUUAAAGACACUUUGGGAAUGUAUUUAUCACUUUUUAAAUGAAAAAUAGAAAAGGUCAAAAAAUGCACUCAAAAGAUUAAUUGGACUUGGAAGCAAGAGCAGGAUUUCUGUGAACCAUGGCAAUGGCAUUUUUAGUGCUUUAGUUGGGAGCAGAGGGCAGAAUGCAGUGGGUGGAGGAGUGAUAGGAAGAUGAGGAAUGAGACCUCACUAGUGGAGAUAACUUUCAGGAAGUUAGAUAUGAAGUGGGGAAGAAUGCAAGAAGCUGAAUAUAAAUUCCCUAAAAUUAGUGAAAGAUUUGAGCUUCUGUUCAUUCACGUAGACUACAAACAUGAAGAAAAAAAAAUCAUUCGUUUUGGAAACACAGUUUCCAAGGUUACAUAAACUUUCUUUCUUUCUUCACUAUUCUAUUUACUUAAUUGCCAGGGAGAACAUUUUUCAGGAGGAAGAAACUUCCUUUUGCUCCUUCUACAAAAUAUACUAUUCUGUGUAAAAUGAGAAUCAAUGCAUUUUACUCAGAAGAAUGGCAAAAAAAAACUAAUAUUUAUCCCUUAAUUUCCAUAUAGCUGAUGUUAGCGGGAGAUAGAAACUUAUCACUCUGCUAACUUAGGUUCUGUGAUUGGGGCCCUGCGAAUUAACUGUAAAAAUUCAAAAGACAUAUUAACAGGAUAAAACAUGAAGUUUAUUCACAUCCAUGUGAGCGCACAAAGUGCGGCUCCCUGGAUAGCUAGAGUUAAGGGUUUACAUAUUAUCUUGAUAGUAAGGGAGUUAAGACUUCAAAUAAAACCAGUUGGUGAGAAACUAGUGAGAAACAAGUAGGGGGAAACAAUAGAAGGUAUGGAAAGUUUUGUAUGUGCAAUUUCUCAUCCGGGUGCCAGUGGUCUGUCUCCUUUCUGGCUGUAAACCUCCUACAGAAGGGAUUUAUGAUGGCUGUAUUUUGGGGAGGCUUUGUUUAAGUUAGCAAAAGAUGUUUAGAUAAGAUCAUUUCCUGU
This 3184-nucleotide long non-coding RNA is filed under the name Equus caballus (horse). RNAcentral's name for it is "lncRNA (ENSECAG00000057647.1)". Lineage: Eukaryota; Metazoa; Chordata; Mammalia; Perissodactyla; Equidae. The record is from RNAcentral.